RNAcentral lists this long non-coding RNA (27965 nucleotides) under Gossypium barbadense (sea-island cotton). RNAcentral describes it as "long non-coding RNA (GBAR_LNC013164)". Lineage: Eukaryota; Viridiplantae; Streptophyta; Magnoliopsida; Malvales; Malvaceae. The record is from RNAcentral.
GCAGGAAAGAAUUCAUUUACGUGGUUUGGUCCAAGACCAAGGGUGAACAUUACGGACCCUGAAAAAAUAAGAGAAAUACUUAACAAAUUUAAUGACUUCCAGAAGAUACGUACCAAUCCUCUGCUUAAUUUGCUUGUAAGCGGCCUUGUUAACCUCGAAGGAGACCGAUGGAGCAAGCGUAGAAAAAUCAUAAACCCUGCAUUUCAUCAAGAUAAGUUGAAGGUAUAGAAUAGUGAUGGGUAAUCAGACUUUACAGAAAACAUCAUACUUAAACCAAUGCUUUUCUGAUUUAGAAAUAAUUGGAUGCAGAAUAUGUUGCCAGCAUUUUAUCAAAGUUGUAGUGACAUGUUAAGCAAAUGGGAGAAGAUGGUGUGUACAGAAGGAUACAGUGAGUUAGAUGUGAGGCCUUAUCUCGUAGAUUUGACAAGAGAUGUGAUUUCCCGAUCUGCUUUUGGAAGCAGCUUCGAAGAAGGCAAACGAAUUUUCCAAUUACUAGAGGACCAACUCGUUCUCACAAUCAAAUUAAUACAAACUGUUUACAUUCCAGGAUGGAGGUAACCGUCAACUUAAUUUACUUGAAAAAGGUUGCAAAUCUUGGAAUUGGCUAAAUUCGUGUUUGUUUUCUUGAAGGUUUUUGCCAACGAAGACAAACAGGGAGAUGAAGAUGAAACACAGAGACAUAAAAGAGUCGCUUAGGGAAAUGAUAAAGAGAAGGGAGAAGGCAAUUAAAGCAGGGGAAGAGAGCAAUGAGGACUUGUUGGACAUACUUGUGGAAUCCAAUAUCAGAGAAAUGGAAGCAAAGAAUAUGGGGAUGAGCAUUGAGGAUGUGAUUGAGGAAUGCAAGCUGUUUUACUUUGCUGGCCAAGAGACCACUUCGGUCUUACUGGUGUGGACUAUGGUUUUAUUAGCAAGGUAUCCCGAUUGGCAAAGUAAAGCAAGAGAGGAGGUUUUGCAUGUUUUGGGUGACAAUAAACCUGAUGCUGAUGGCCUUAAUCGUCUCAAAGUUGUAAGUCCCUAGCAUGUCUUUUGAAGGUCCGAUCAAUGAGGUCGACAACUCAAAAACUUUGUUUCUUUUUUCGCUAAUUCUACAGGUAACGAUGAUAUUGUACGAGGUUCUAAGGCUGUACCCACCGGUGGUUGAGCUAGGACGUUCCGUUCCAAAAGAAAUAAAACUGGGGAAUUUGUUGUUACCAGUAGGAACAGAAGUUUCGGUUCCGAUCCUGCAGAUCCACCAUGACAAAGAUCUUUGGGGUAACGACGCACGGGAAUUUAAGCCAGAGCGGUUCGCGGAAGGGGUUUCCAAAGCAACAAAGAGUCAAGUCACGUUUCUGCCAUUCGGAUGGGGUCCUAGGAUCUGUAUUGGCCAAAAUUUUGCUUUGAUGGAAGCCAAAAUGGCGAUGGCUAUGAUUCUCCAACGCUUCUGGUUCGAGCUUUCCCCUUCCUAUGCUCACUCUCCUUACAGCAGGGGAACUCUUCGUCCACAGCAUGGUGCACAGAUAAUUUUACAUAAACUUGGCUGUAAUUGAAUUGUUAUGUAAACAAAUCUUUGUGAAAACAUAGCGUUUUAGUGUAUCGUCAAAGUCCGGUGUCUGUAAUGGUACAAAUUCGAUGCAUGAAUAGUAAAUUUUGAGAUGUUUGGUGAAGUCCGAAAUAAUAUGCAGAAAUUGAGCGUCUAUGGUGGACAUAGUUGAGGGACUAAUGUGGUAAUUAUCAAUCAAAUAAUUCGGUACAAAGACUUGUAUGGAAAUUAAAGCAGGGGGAGUUGAAAAUGACUACUCUGCUUUGGGCAUCAAUUUAGAAAGAUUUAAAGUACAACUGUGUUAUCAGUUAAGGGAUUUGUUUUAAAGAGGGAAUGACAAUUAAACCUCAUGGUUUAUUUGUGCAAGGGAACCGAUGAUGGGAUGAUUAUUCUUAGUGGUAAAAAAAACCAUUAUGGAGGUUAUUACACUUGUUAUCAUCAGCUUAAAAUUCGAAUGGGUUCAAGUCGGAUUAUAUCGAGCUUGUAAGAUGAGUUCACGGACCAAGUUUGCAUAAUAAAAUACCUAAAUGAAAAAAAAUUCUAUUUUAGAGGGACGAGAGCCCCUAUCAACUCCCGGCUCAGCCACUAAACAAUACCUAUAUCAUAUAAAUAAAUACCACCAUCUAAAAGACUCAAAGAAAAACACUCAACAAAGGAUAAAUAGAUAGAUGUUGGAUAAGUGUCCAAAAUAUGAUUUAAGUGAAGAUACAUGUGGUAGGUGUUACGGAAAUGUGAAGACAAGAAUCCCACUAACGUAUGGGAUGUGUGCAGUUGAAUGUAGGGAGCAAAAAGAGGAGUGAAUCAUUUUGGUAACAUUUGGACAAGAAACAUAAUGAACAAAAUGGAAGGAGAGGAAGCUAGUAAAAGAAUUUUUUUGGGUCAUAUAAUUUGUUCAUUUUGGAGUUGAAUUAUAAUUUUUUUAUAUAUUAUUUUAAAAUUUUAAGGAGUUAAAACAAAAUUAUUUUAUUUUCAGAUGGUCAAAGUAGAGGUGAUAAUGGGUUGGGCUAUUCGGCCCGGCCUGACGAUUCACUCGAAAAAUAGGAGGGUUUAGGUAAAAAUAUAGGCUCGAAAUAGGGAUUUGAGCAAAAAAAGAGUCCCGUUUAGAAAAUGGGCCAGGCCUCGGGUAAAAUUUUUUGGGCCCAAGCCUGACCUGAAUUAUAUAUUAAAUAUAUUUUUUAAUUUUUAAUCAAAUAUACUUUUUUUUAUUAAUUUGGUUAUUAUUUUAGUUCUAAUUUGUUUCAAUUUUAAUAUAACCACUUUUUAUUAUAUUUUCAAUUUGUGUAUUGUUUUAAGAAUUGUUUUAGUCUCAUUUUUUUAUUUAUUUUUUGUUUUAAUAAUUGUUUUAAAAAUUUUUAUUUAAUGAAAUAAGCUAAAAAAAUUAAUAUGGGCUUGGCCAGGCCAGGCUCGGGCCUAGUAAUUUUCUUUUGGGCCGGACUUAGAUAAAAUUUUAAGCCCAUAUUUUAAAUUGGGUCCUAACCUAAAAAAUGAACCUAAAAUUUUAUAUGGGCCCGACUUGGCCCUUGAUUACCUUUAGGUCAGAGCUAUCCUCGUUUUGCAUUUCUUUGAGAUUCAGCCUUAUCUACUGUGAUUGCCCACUCAAUUGAGGGUUGAGUAGAAAGAUUUGGUGAAGCAAGCUAAGCUAUCAAUCAAGGUUUGCAUAAUUAUUUAAAUGUAAUUCUAAUAUUAAAAUAAUUUUUUUAUUAAUAUAGUAUCAACAAGCAUUAAAUGUAAUGAUCAUAUACUAUUACAUUUUAAAGAAGAGAAAACAUGUUUGAACUUUAAAAACCACGUUACUAAAAACAUUAUCACAAACCUUGAAAUAUAAAAAAUAAUUUUUUUAAUAUAAUAAAAAAUUAAUUUUAAACCCGAGCUGAAUAAAAUUCUAAUUUUAGUUAAUGAUACGAACAACAAAUCAAUAUUCUAAGCCCGAGCCCUGCUCAUUUUUUUAAUAAACACCAAAAAUUUAUUUUGAAAAUAAAAAAUAAAAAAAAUAUUUUAAAAAUAUUUUAAAAAUAAAAAAAAUUAAAAAUAAAUAUUUAUUAUAUAUUCAGGCCGGGCCGGGCUAGCCUUGGGCUAAAAAAAUGGUGCCCGAGGCCCGGCCCAUUUUCUAAAUAGGCCUCAUUUUUUGUCCAAACCCAUAUUUUGGGCCUAUAUUUUUACCCGAACCUCUCAUAUUUUGGGCGGACCGUCGGGCCGGACCGGGCCGCCCGGCCAUGAACACCUCUAGGGCAAAGUCACUCAAUGAAUGCAUGGAAAGAAAUAUUGCAACUUGGUGACAGCUUUUGUUGGAGUUAUAUGCUUUUUUUUACAUAGUGGAACUUUCGGUGGAUUUUCAAGUUUCAUGAACUUUAUACCCUAGGCUUUACGUGAAAAAAAUCAUUGGACUUAAAAGUCUACCAAAAGUUUCACUAUAAUAAAUAAAUAAAUAAAUAACAUUGCUACAAGACUACAACAUAAAGUUACAAUAAGAGCUUAUAACUCAACAAAGGCUAUCAAUAAAUAAUCUCAAGCAAGCUAAAGAGAAAUGUUGAGAGUACCACUCAAAUAGUGAUUGACUUUAAAAAUUGAAAACCCGAAGUUAUUGUUGACACCAUUUUUUGGAUGAAAAUGUGUCGACUUGGGUUUUGAAAAUGAAAACGAAAACGAGAGUCGCCACCAAUCCUUUUUGAUAAGGUGUGACUGGGUCACCUUGAAAAGUGGUUGUUUUUAAUAAACGAUUUGAUUUUAUUAAAACAACAGUUUUGGUCCACGAAAUUCAGAAAAAUGAGUUCGGGAGUCGGUUACGCACGAGGAAGGAUUAGCACCCUCGAUACGCCCAAAAUUGGUACCUAGUUGAUUACUUAAUGUCUUAAUGUCGAAAAUUGAAAACUUUGGAGAAUUUUAAACAUACGAUCCUUGUAUUAAAACGUUAAAAAUUUUCAAGAAAAUGGGAUAUUUCACGUUAUUCGAUAAAGAGAAUCAUAUCCUAGUAAGUUAGGACACAAUAUCUCGAAUUUCCGAUAUCAUUUAAAACUUGAGUUUGAAAAGAUUCGUGUAAUAAAGUUUAAAAUAAUAUUCAAUUGUUUAAAUCAAAUGAAGAAAUCGCAACCCAAUACGUUAGGGCACAAUUUCUCAAAAUAUUAAACAUUGAAUAUUGCAUUUAUUUCGAAAAAUCCUCAUCUCGAGAAAACGUGUCACAUCCAAUGCAUUAGAAUACAACGUAUUGAAUUCUCGAUAACGAGCUUUUUCUCAUUUUUUAAAAGAGUAAUCUCGAUUAUUUAGGUUCAACGAAGAAAAUCAAAACCCAAUACGUUAGGGCUCGAUUUUCUCAAAGAUUCCAAAUACCGAGUAUUACUUAUAUUUUUAAAAUUUCUUUUUUGAAAUCCGAGUAAAAAUGAAUGCAAAAUAAUAAAUGAUGACAAUGUAAAUAAAAUGAUACAAGCAAAACAAUAAACAAUAAAAAUAAUCAUACGGGCAAGGUAACAAAUAAUUAGGAACUAAAGAAAGAGAACAAACAAUAAUAAACAUGCAAAUAAAUGAACAAAAUUAACAACAUGAUGCAAAUAUGAAAGAUAUAUAAGCACAUAUAUAUACAUAAAAUAAUGAGAAUAUGAAAAAAUGUGUGUAAUUGGACAUGUUUCGGAAUUAUUAUACAUUUAAAAAUCAUGUAAAUGUGUGUACAUACAUAUAUACAUAUAUAAUAAUCAUUAAAUAUAUAAAAAUACAUAUGUGUAGGUAUAUAUGAGUCAUAAAAUGUAAAGAAUAUAUACAAGAUAUAUUUUGAACGUAUAAAGUAUAUGUAAAUGUAUAUAUAUAAUAAAGGUGUAUGAAAGCAUAUUUUAUAUACGUGUAUUUAUAAAAUGUAUAUAAAUGUAUAUUGAUUUACCAAUACAUAUGGAUUUAUAAUUAUAGAAUAUAUAUAAAAUAUUUACAUAUAUACGUUUAUGCAUAUAUAAAAGUAAGUUAUUAUAAAAUAUGAGCAAGCAGAAUACAUAAAUAUAUAUACAUAAAAUAAAAAUGAAGAUGAAAAUAAUAUAAAACUACUUAAUAUAUUAAUAUAAUAGUAACAAAUUAAAAAAACAGAAAAUAAAGCUAAUAAUAAUUAAUAAUAGUAGUAAUAAUUAUAGCAGCAAUGAUAAUGAUAAUAAUAAUAACACUAAAAAAAUUAAUUAAAUAAUAAAAUUGCUAAAAAGGGAUUAAAUCGAAAUAAAAACAUAAAUACUGGGCGAUUUUGAAAUAAAAAACGGGAAGGACCGAAUUGCAACGCGCGUUGAAAAGGAAAGGGCCAAAACUGCAAAUAAACCACAGCCCCAAAACGCAGCGUUGAAAUGGACCAAGUCGAAAUAAAAAUAAAAUUGCAGGGGCUAAAUUAAAAAUAAGAGAAAAUAACGAAAAAUGAUCAAAUUGUAAUACGCUGCAAAAUCAGGGGGACUGCACGCGCAAAUAGCCCAAAAACUGAAAACACGCGGAUCCUCCGGGUCGGGUCGGGUCGGGUCAGGUCGACGUGCGGAUCCCCUUUGCUAAAACGGCGUCGUUUCAUGUUUAAUAUAAAUACUAAAAAAAGCUAAAAAAAACAGUUUCAUCUUUUUUUAAAAAAAACAGAGAGAAAACUCUCUCUUUUUCCCUCAGGUCCGGCCAUGGUCCGGCUUGGGAUUUCCGACGAGUCUCCGCCGCAAAGCCACCGUGUGUGGCGGCCGGAGGUUCAAAAUCAGACCUUUUUGGUCCUUUUUUAAAGUCCAUGGCCUCCAAGCCACAGAUCCGGGGCUGAAUCUCCUGAAUCGAAAGCCGAAGACCCAAAAAAUGGGGUGAAAUCCUUCGCCUUCCUCCCCCUUCCGGCGCUGCGCAGGUAAGGUUUUUUUUAACUCCUUUUUUACUAUCUUUAUUUAUAUAUAUACAUGAAGAGAAAAGAGAGCAAAAUAAAUAAAUAAAUAAAAACUUCAAAACUGAAGAGAAAAAGACCUUGAAUCUGCCUUAUUUAUUUUCUUUCGGUUGAAUCUGUUUUUGUUUGUUACAAAAGUUUCCAGGGAAGAGAAAAAAAAAGAGAGUUACAUGCUUGGCUUUUAUAGCCGAUAUUAAUUUCUAUUUUUUGUUUUCUUUUUCCUUUCUUUUCUUUGGCUGUUGCGUGUUUGCUUCCUUAUUGCAGGGUGAUUGACGGGAGUGGUUGGCGACAGAGUCGGUGGCCACUUGCACUGAUGAAGCAGCGGUGGCGGCGCUAGGGUAGGCUAGGGACGGCGGCAGUACUAGGGUUUCAGAAAACUGAAACCCUAGUUUGACAAAUUGGUUUCGGGCCUGUUGGGCUUUAAAUUAUGGGCUUUGUAAUUGGGUUUUGGGUUUAGGUGAUUUGGGUUUAGGUGGUAUGGGCCCGGGUCAAAUUUUGGGUAAUGGGAUUGGGGCAAAAUUGGGUUGUACAGUUAUAAUAUCCCAAACGAAAUCAAACUAUAAACAUUAAAUUUUUCGAGUCUUCUAGAUACUGUAAAAAAUUCAGCUCCAACGGACACCAAAUGAACCUAUGAUCGAAGAAAAUACGAAGACUAGUCUGGCUAAAUCAAUCUGCCAAACUUACUUUUUAUCUUAUCUUUAAUUUGCUGUGAAAUUCAAAACUACGUGUAAUACUCAAUUUAUGCUCGACCCAUUUUGUUAAAACAAAUAAAAAAGAAAAGAAAAACAAAAUAUUUAAAUUUAGCCCAAAUGUCCAUUUACACAGCCCAAUUACAAUUGCAAAUAAAAAAAACUAAAACUAAACCCGAUCCUAAGCAUCAGCCCAAAUUCGACCCAUGCCCAAAACGAAUUCAGAUGCAGAAACCCUAGCCCAGCCUUAAUGCAAGCAAAAGUCGAAAGCCCUAAUAGUUGGUGCGCCGCUCCUGUAACAGCCCGAUUUUGGGCCUAGUCGGAACAGUGGUUUUGGGACCACAAAUCCGACGAGAAAAAAAUGUAAUGGCCCGAAUUUUCAGAGGUGUCAGAACGGUGAUUCGAGAUCACUAAAUUCGACAAAUGGGUAGAAAAUAUUAUUAAUUUAGUAAGUAUAAGUUAAAUGUGAAGUUAGGAAAAUUUUUGAAAUGGUGAAUAGUACACUAGAAAUAAAUAUUAAAAUAAUUAGAAUCGAAAAUGAGGUAUCGAGACCUCGGGGAUUUUAAACCGAGCCAUAAAUAUUUUUAUAAAUAUUUAUGUAGUCUUAAAAAGUUAGUAUUAAAGUUUCGUUAAGAAAUUUUAAAGUUCCGAUAAUUAAUUGAACAAAAAGGACUAAAUUGUAACAAAUACAAAAUUAUGAGAAAUGAUUAAAUAGUUUAAAUGAUAAAAGGAAGAGGGCUUAAAAGGUAAAUAGACCCAAGGUCUAUUUGGGCUGCACGGCAAAGGCAUGAAAUCAGCAACAAAGUAAGGAGAAUUAAGGGCAAAAUUGGAAUAUUGCAAAAUUUACUUAAUAAAGUUAGGACCAAAGUGGAAUUAUCUAGAUUUCUCUUUAUUUUUCUGCAUUAUCAUCAGCAUAAACACCAUAGAAGGGUUUUCUUAAGCUGGUUCUUCCUAUUUUUACUGCAGGUAAGUUCAAUUCUUGAUUAUUUCUUGAAAAUUUUGUGUUUUUGUGACUUUUACAACUAGGCCCACUUAUUGUAUUCAUUAGUUUUUGAUUCUAUGAAAGAAGUUGAAAGUUGCUAUGAAUACAUGCUGGAAGUAUAUGAUGAUUUAGCAUGGAAUUAGAGCUUUAAAUUGUUCAUAUGCUGAUUUAUUGAAAGAAUUGAAUAGAAAGUGAAUGUUUGGGACCUAAUAGUAAAAGAGUUUGAAGAUAGAGUUAUAUGUGGAAAUUCUGAAUUUCAAUAGUUGUGAAACAACUUAUAAUGUCUAGGUUAAGUAUUAAUUGAGAAAAUUAAAUUAAUUGAGGGGUUAAUUGAGAAAGGACCGAAUUGUAUAAACUGUGAAAUUUGGGGCAAAAAGGAAAUCAACAUUUUACACUAAAGCAGUUUUGGACAGCAGCAGUAGUAUAACUUUGAAAAAUCACCAAAAAUUUUGAGAAUUGAAUUAGAGGGUGAAUAAAAUAUAAAAUUAAAGCUCCUUGAAUCUAGUUUCUCAUAGAAGAAACGGUGUAAGCAAUGGAAUUGUAAAUCAUGAGAUAUAAUAAAUUUUGUGAGACAAUGUCAUAAUGAUUUCGGGUUCCCCUAUUCUGACUUUGGAAAAUCAUCAAAAAAUUAAGAAAAAUAUGAGUUAUAAUUUAUAUGAUUACAAUCCUUAAUGAGUCUAUUUUCAAAGAAAAUAAACGGAAAUAUCAUCCAAAUUCUGUACAAUUAUAUAAUUCAUUUUUAGUGAAGAGUGGUCGAAACUGUCAGACAGCGAAAUAGGGGGAACUUUAAAGAAUAAACUGUACUAUUUGGCUGAACCAAAAAUUCUGAAAAUUUUAUGGUAAGAAGGUAUGUGAGUCUAGUUUUAAGGAAAAUUAACGGAUCUUAAUUUAGAGCUCUGUAGCUCUAGAUAAAAAUAAUUUAGUGACUCUGACUCAGAUAAAUAGCUUUGAAUGUACAUGUGAGUGAAUAGUGAAAUUAUAGCUAGUGUUGUUUAAGUGUGUUAUACACAUUAAGGAUAUGGAAUGGAGAGGAGGAGGAGGAGGAAAAAUUGGGAAAUAUAUGAAUGAUUUGUGUAUAAUUGGUCAUAUGCUUAAUUAUAAUUGAUAAACGAUGAAAUAGAAAUGAUGCAUAUAUUUGUGCAGUAUUGGUCAUGGUUUAAGCUCAUGUGGGAAAAUAAAGUUUAUAGUACGUGUGUAUUAUAUUUUUGGUAUAUGAUUUGGCAUUAAGUAAUGUCGUGAAUGGAUAUUGAAUUAACACAUGUUGGAAAGUUUGAUAUAUGAAUAAAUAUUGUGAUCAUGAAAGAGUGUUACAGCUCCUGCCUUCAGCACGCGUCGAGCCUCCGCGCCAAAUCCACGUGAGCCUCCGUACACUCCAACUAGCCUCCGUACCUGCAACAAACAAAAGUAGACAAAACAACAGCAAAGGAUAGGAAGAAAAGGCAGUAAAUAGUGAAGAUUUUUCUGUAAUUUUCUUUGGAUUUCAUUAUGUAUUUUCGGCUAUAAAAGAGCCAUUAGGAAUAUUUGUAAAGGGUUUUUUUUUUACCCUCACACACAAAGAGAAUAUACACGCAUACAAGAUCAAUAUAGAGAAAGAAAUAAAAAUAAAUAAAUACAAAGAAUAGAAAAUCAAGUUUCGAAGGUGAUUCUUUGAAAAAUCCUUUUCGUUUUUCUCAUUUUUCCUUUUUCCUGGAUCUUUUGUUCAUUUCAAGUAAAAAAAGUAUAGAAAGGAAACAAGUUUAGAGGAAGGAGGUUUACCUGGACGCCGGACCUCGCUCGCCUCGUCGAAAUCGAAGGCUGAGAGGGGAUAAAUCGGUUUUGCGGCAGAAGGAAAGGGGGGCUAGGGUUCUUGUUUUAACUUUUUUAAAAAAAAUAGAAAAGGUUGCUAAUUAGGUUUUAAUGGGGGAUUUAUGUGUGUUAAAAAAACGACGUCGUUUAGCGACCUUUGACCCGUGCGGUGACCCGACCCGAGGAAAGGAUCUGCGCGUUUUGGGUCUGAUGGGUUUAUUGCGCAACAAGCCCUUCCGCAUUUGUUUUUCGUUUCAAUUCGGUUUUUAUUUGUUUUUUAAUUGUUUUCUCAUAUUUAGUUCCAAUUUCAAUUGGGUCCAUGAUUAAACGACAUCGUUUUCAUUGAUUGGGUUUGAAGGCCUGGUUUUGUGCGUCUAAAUUGCAGCAAUGGUCCCCCUGAUGUGCAAUAGUUCUCGAUUUAGUCGUCUCCACACUUAUUUCAAAGUCGUCCUUGAGAUUUUGUUUUAUUUUUGAAAUUGUCCUUGUCUUCUUUUAAUUUAUAAUGAUAUUAUUAUUAUUGUUGUUGUUAUUAUUACUAUUAAUAUGGGUAUUGUUAUCAUGUUAGUUUAUAUCUAUUUAUUUACUUUUAUUUUAUUAUGUAUUAUUAUAUAAUGCUUUUAUCAUGUAUCAUUUUAUAUAUUUUCUAUGUUAAUCUAAUAUGAUAUAUAUAUAUAUAUGUAUUUUUGUGAUCUUAUUUUAUAAUACUUUUUUAACCCAUUUAUAUGCCUUUAUGUUUUAAAGAUUUAUAAUAUUUUGUGCAAAACUAUUAUAUAUAUAUAUAGAUAUACAAUUUAUAUUAGACCAUUUUUAUCGUACAUAUACGUAUAUAUAAUUUAUAUUUUGAAACUCUAUUUUAUUAUAUUUUAUGCCUCUAUAUACAUCAUUAUAUGUUUAUUAUUCUUUAUAUUAAACCUGCCAUUUCACUUAUAUAUUUUUAAAACCAAUGUGUAUUAUUCUUUCUUCUUUGUUAUUUUUUAUCUCUUAAAAUAGAUUGAUAAUUCAUUUAAUUUUUGAAUGUUGUAUGACCGAGAUUAUCGUUGCCAUUCUUGUCCAAAUUUAUCCAUUGCUUGUUCAUAUUAUUUGAUAAUUUAUCGCUCACUAGCAUGUAUCGUAAUUUACGAAUUAUCAUUUUGAAUUAUGUACUACCAUUCAAUCGCAUUACAUUUGUUUGGAAAACAUCGAAAUCGUUUUGCACAUAAACCUUCAAAAUGCUUGGUAUCCAAAAUUCUCGAGAGGAUUGUGCCCUAAUUUAUUGGGCUUCAAUUCCCCUUUUUGAUUUUAAAUAACCGAAUACCCCUUUUUCAAUUUGAACAUAGAAAUUCCAAAAUAAAAAAAAACUCAUUCUCGGGAAUUUGAUGCGUUGUGUCCUAACGUAUUGUAUAUGACAUAUUUUUCUCGAGACGAGGAUUUUUCUAACAAAUAAAAAUAAAGGCAAUAUUCGAUAUUUAGGAAUUUUGUGAAAUCGAACCCUAACUUACUGGGUUUUGAUUUUUUCAUUUGACCCAAGUAGGAUAUCCUUCACAAAUGCACAGAUUUUAAAAAAUCAAAAGAUAAACUUAAUUUCGAGGAUUUAAAAUGUUACACUCUGACUUACUGAGUGUGUCAAUUUAUUUCUUUGAAAUAAGUGAGUCUUAUCAUCCAAUUUAUUUUAUUCAAAUUUUCUUUUCCAAGGAUCGUAUUUUAAAAUUUUUUCAAAAUUUCGACAUUAAGACAUUAAGCAAUCAAUUCAGUACCAAUUUUGGGCGUCACGAGGGUGCUAACUCUUCCUCGUGCGUAAUCGACUCCCGAACCAGUUUUCUCAAAAUUCACAGACCUAAAAUUAUUUUCAAGGUGAUCCGAUCACACCACAAUAAAAGAUCAGUGGUGACUCCCAUUCCUAUUUUUAAAAGUCGAUUCCUGUUUUUCAUAUAUAAAAAAAUGGUUUCGACACUACGGUUUUGUUUGUUUCCCUUAGAACAACUUUCAAAAAGUUAAUUUUGAAAAAUGGAUUGAAUUUUCAAAAUAGAUGAUAUUUUUUUGUGUUAAAAUUUUAUUCGUUGUUUGAAAAAAAAAUUUAAAUCAUUUUCUUAGAAUUAUUUUUAGUGAAACAAAUAUAUCAUAAAUAUAUUUGUUAUAAAAUAUUAUAUUAAUAUUUUCUUUUAACAAUUAAAAUAUAUUUUGUGAUAAGGUAAUAUUUUAUAAUAAUUAAUAUCAUAUAUACUUAAUAAUAAAUCAUGUCUAAUUAAAAUUUAAUUUCAAUUAAAUAUAUUAAUAAAGCUACAUUUAAUCAUAUUUUAUAUAAUUAAAAUAUUAAUAUAAAUAUUUUUCAAUAAUAUAUUAAAGAAUAUUUAAAAUUUAAAUUUAUUAUUACUAAGAUUAAUUAUUAAAACAAAAAUGUAAUAUUAAAUAAUUUAUCCAAUGAUAAGUUAUAUUAAUAAUUUAUUAUAUUAUUAAAUAUAAAUAAUUAAAUAUGUAUGUUUAAUAAUAUUAUGUUAUAAUAUUUAUUACUAAUAUUUUAAUAUUUUUAAACAACCAUGUUUUAAAGAUGGUGGUGAUGGUGAUGGUGCAGGCCCCCUUGUUAAAAUUACAAUAUUUUUAAGUGGGAUGCAUGUAAUAUAUUGUUAGGGUUUUAGAGUAUGUGGUCUUUAAAAGGGUUAAAUUAUAUAUUUAUAUAAUAUGAUUAUUGUUUAUAAACAUAAUAUUGUAGAUAAGUUUAUAUGUAUGUCAAUAUGUAUCCUACUCUAAGGUUAAUAUGUAUUUUUUAGAUGUGGGUUUACCUAUAUAAUAGUAUGAAUCCAUCAUGUGGUCUCAUGAAAUAUACAAACACAUAUCGUGCGAACACAAAGUACGAACAAUAAAAAAUACAAAUCAAGACCCAAUUGAAUAAUUGAAUAACGGAUAGGUAAUAAUGAAUAUCAUAACAUUUACUAUCCCCUCUUUUCUAGUGAGUUAUUGUUUAUGAUAAAUUUGCAACAAAUGUUUUUAUCAUUAUUUUGUUGGUAAAUGAUAAUAAGAUUAAACAUUACUUUCUUAAGCUCCUUCAAUUCUUUGGACGUUAGCGAGUAAACUUGAGCUUCAGCAUUCCACAAACACCUUAAUUUGAAGACACAGUUCUCUCAUACUAAAAACGACAUGGACGUUUACCUUGUAAUUAGAGAUUUGGGCUCAUUGUUGGGUUAUUAAUGAUACGGGGAUGGAGAGCUUUAAACUGGGUAUGGUUGGCCCCAAAGAGGCUCGAAACGUGCUUGAGACUAGAGGUGAUCAAGGGCCGGGUUAGGCCCAGUCUAGAAAAAAAAUUAGGCCCAUUUUUUAGAUUUGAACUCGGCUCGGCUCAAAAUAUAAGCUUAAAAAUUUGUCUAAGUUCAGUCCGAAAGAAAAUUGUUAAGCCCAAGCUCGACCCAUAUUAAAUUUUACAACACCAAAAAAGUAUAUUUAAAUAAAAAUAAAAUAUAUAUAUUUAAUAUAUAAUUCGGGCCGAGCUGAACUCGGGCCAAAAAAGUUUUACUCGGGGCUGGUCCGUUUUCUAAACAGACUUCGUUUUUUUUGCCAAAAUCCAUAUUUUUACCCGAAUCUUCCUAUUUUUUGGGGUGUGCCGUCGGGCCGAACUGGGUAACCGAACCAAUGAUCACCUCUGUAAUCACUGAAUUUUGUCCGGGAAUAACUUUCGUUAAAAAAAUUUUAAAAUUAAAAAAAAAUUAACUUUUUUGCUUUUUGACCCCUAAACUUUUCUAAAAUUUCAUUUUAACCCCUAAACUUUCUCAAAAUUACAGUUCAACCCCUAAACUUUUCUAAAUUACAUUUUGACCCCUAAAAUUUCUUAAAAUUACAUUUGGACCCUUACACUUUCUCAAAAUUACGUUUCGGCCCCAAAAUUUUUGCUACAUUUACAAAUUGGUCCUUCUGUCAGAAAAUCCCCAAUAAUCCGGCGGAUUUCGUGCACCUGCCCCACUAUUUCCGGCAGCCGGCCUAGGGCAUGGCCUUCCCCACCUGCUACCUGCAAACAAGAAGCAAAAUCAACUAUAAAAAGGAGUUUAAACUCCAAAAAUCGGACCCCCACCCACGAAAAAAAUAAAAAAAAAAAACUUGAAAGAAAAAGAAAAAAGCUUUGAGAAAGAAAAAGAAAAGGAAAAGAAGAGAGGGGAGAAGGAGAGGCCGACCAUCGGCGAGCCACCGGAGGAGGCGACGGCAGCAGCGGCAUCGACGGCGGCGUAGAAGACCGAACGGAGAAGAAGAAGAAGAAGAAAAAAAAAGAAAGAAGAGAAAGAAAGAAGGAAGAAGAAGAAGAAAGAAACAAAAAAAAAAGAAAAUAUUUUGUAAUAGUCGGCCCGGCCCGACUCGACCUGCACGACCCGUGACCCGACCCGACAGCACCAGCAACCUAGCAGGCCACGGUAGCAGCCCGGCGGCCCAAAGAGUAGCCCAAAAAGAAAAAAAGAAGAAGAACAAAGCAAAAAAAAAAAGCAGGCCAUUUUCAGCAGGCCCAGUGCAGCCCAGCAGACCCAGCGAACCCAGCAGGCCAGGCCCACACGCAAGCAGCCCAACAGAAAAAAAGGGAAAGAAAAAGAAAAGAAAAAAGAAAAAAGAAAAAAGAAGAAGAAGGGGUUCAAUUUGUAUUAUCCGUUCGGCGAAGCUCGUGUUUUGAGGAUUUUUUUUCGGUAAUUUUAUUUUUUAAUUUUAAUUUAAUGCUCGUAUUUUUUUUAAAUAUUAUUAGUAUUUUAUGCAUUUUUAUAUUUUGGCAUUUAUAUUUUUAAUUUAAUUUACUUCAAUUUUUAUUUUAUUUUAUUUUAAAUAAUUUUAAUAAAUGAGGCAACGAAUCGAUUUAACAUAAAAUCGUUGAUUUCAUUGCUAUGUUGGGUGAAUAUCAUCGGUUUGUGUUAAACACGAUACACCCUUUUUAAAAAAAAGAAAAAAAUCGAAAAAAUUCUAAAAUUCUCAUUUUUUUAAAAUUCUCGUGUUUUAAUAGAAUCACGAUUAAAUAUUAAGUUGAAUCGAUUUGGCACUAAUUCGAUGAUUUCAUCUCCAUGUAGGGAUGAAUAUCAUUUAUUCGUGUUAAAUAUGGUACUUCUGAAAAAAAAUCGGGUUUCAAAAAUUUUCGUGUUUUCAAAAAUUCUCAUGUUUCAAAAAUCUUCGUGUUUUAAAAAUUCCAGUGUUUCAAAAAUUUUCGUGUUUUCAAAAAAAAAUUUCUCGUGUUUUUAAAAAUUCCCGUAUAUCGAAAUUUUCUUGUUUUCAAAAAAAAAAUUCCAUGUUUCAUAAAUUUCCGUGUUUUCAAAAAAAAAUUCUUGUUUUUCAAAAAUUUUCGUUUUUAAAAAAUUUGACCGUGUUUCAUAAAUUUUCGUAUUUCAAAAAAACCUCGUGUUUCAAAAUUUUCGGGUUUUUUUAAAAACAAUUCGUGUUUCUAAAAUUCUCGUAUUUUAAAAAAAAUCGUGUUUUCAAAAAAAGAAAAAGUUGUUGUGCUUUAAAAUUAUCGUGUUUCAAUCGGAUCACGAUUAAUAUUAAAUUGAACUCGUAUUUUUGAAAAUGAAAACAACGCGCGUUUAACGAGAUACCAAUUUUGGGCGUCGCGAGGGUGCUAAUACCUUCCUCGCGCGUAACCGACUCCCGAACCUUAAUUUUCUCUGAAUUUUUACGUGGACCUAAAAUUACCUCUUUUUAGAAAAGUUUAAAAAUGAAUUUUUCUUCUAAAAAGAGAAUUUUGUAGGUGUCCGAUCACACCUAAAAAAAGAUCGGUGGCGACUCCUUUUUUUCAAAUAAAAUCGAGAUUCAGUUUUCAAGUUUUUAAUAAUUACUUCGACAAGCGCCCGUGCGCAAAAUUUUUAAGUCGCUACAGCCUCUACUUGAGACAACAGGGUUUUGCAGGGAAUUCUUACAGGUUCGUUUCUGGCGACAAAAAAGAGCUCUUCACUAUAAGCAUACAAACAAGAGCCAAAACUAUGCCUCUUAGUGAUGAUAUUAGGCCUUAUGUUAUUCCUUUUCAACAUCAAACCGUCAACCGGUAUGGUAUGUUUUUUUUAUUUAAUCUGCAAUUUGUGAUAAUUCUUUGUUAUUUAUGUAUGGAAUUUAUUGGGAGGAAAUGCUGGAAAGAAUUCAUUUACGAGAAUUGGUCCAAGAUCAAGGGUGAACAUUACGGACCCUGAAAAAUAAGAGAAAUACUUAACAAAUUUAAUGACUUCCAGAAGAUACGUACCAAUCCACUGCUUAAUUUGCUUGUAAGCGGCCUUGUUAACCUCGAAGGAGACCGAUGGAGCAAGCAUAGAAAAAUCAUAACCCUUGCAUUUCAUCAAGAUAAGUUGAAGGUAUAGAAUAGUAAUGGGUACUCAAGACUUUAAAGAAAACAUCAUACUUAAGCCUAUGCUUUUCUGAUUUAGAAAUAAUUGGAUGCAGAAUAUGUUGCCAGCAUUUUAUCAAAGUUGUAGUGACAUGUUUAAGCAAAUGGGAGAAGAUGGUGUGUACAGAAGGAUACAUUGAGUUAGAUGUGUCGCCUUAUCUCGUAGAUUUGACAAGAGAUGUUAUUUCCCGAUCUGCUUUUGGAAGCAGCUUCGAAGAAGGCAAACGAAUUUUCCAAUUACUAGAGGACCAACUCGUUCUCACAAUCAAAUUAAUACAAACUGUUUACAUUCCAGGAUGGAGGUAACCGUCUACUUUAAUUUACUUGAAAAAGGUUGCAAAUGUUGGAAUUGGCUAAAUUCGUGUUUGUUUUCUUGAAGGUUUUUGCCCACAAAGACAAACAGGGAGGUGAAGAUGAAACACAAAGACAUAAAAGAGUCGCUCAGGGAAAUGAUAAAAAGAAGAAAGCAGGCAAUUAAAGCAGGGGAAGAGAGUAAUGAGGACUUGUUGGACAUACUUGUGGAAUCCAAUAUCAGAGAAAUGGAAGCAAAGAAUAUGGGGAUGAGCAUUGAGGAUGUGAUUGAGGAAUGCAAGCUGUUUUACUUAGCUGGCCAGGAGACCACUUCGGUCUUACUGGUGUGGACUAUGGUUUUAUUAGCAAGGUAUCCCGAUUGGCAAAGUAAAGCAAGAGAGGAGGUUUUGCAUGUUUUGGGUGACAGUAAACCUGAUGCUGAUGGCCUUAAUCGUCUCAAAGUUGUAAGUCCCUAGCAUGUCUCUUGAAGGCCCGAUCUCUGAGGUCGACAACUCAAAAACUUGGUUCUUUGUUUCGCUAAUUCUACAGUUAACAAUGAUAUUGUACGAGGUUCUAAGGCUGUACCCACCAGUGAUUGAGCUAGGACGUUCCGUUCCAAAAGAAAUAAAACUGGGAAAUUUGUUGUUACCAGCAGGAACAGACGUUUCGGUUCCAAUCCUGCAGAUCCACCAUGACAAAGAUCUUUGGGGCGACGCCGCACGGGAAUUUAAGCCACAGCGGUUCACGGAAGGGGUUUCCUAAGCAACAAAGAGUCAAGUCACGUUUCUGCCAUUCGGAUGGGGUCCUAGGAUCUGCAUUGGCCAAAACUUUGCCAUGAUGGAAGCUAAAAUGGCGAUGGCUAUGAUUCUCCAACGCUUCUGGUUUGAGCUUUCCCCUUCCUAUGCUUACUCUCCUUACAACAUGGCAACUCUUCGUCCACAGCAUGGUGCACAGAUAAUUUUACAUAAACUUGGCUGUAAUUGAAUUGUUAUGUAAGCAAAUCUUUGUGAAAAUAUAGUGUUUUAGUGUAUCGUCAACGUCUGUCUGUAAUGGUACAAUUCCGAUGCAUGAAUAGUAAAUUUUGAGAUGUUUGGUGAAGUCCGAAAUAAUAUGCAGAAAUUGAGUGUCUAUGGUGGACAUAGUUGAGGGACUAAUGUGGUAAUUAUCAAUCAAAUAAUUCGGUACAAAGACUUAUAUGGAAAUUAAAGCAGGGGGAGUUGAAAAUGACUACUCUGCUUUGGGCAUCAAUUUAGAAAGAUUUAAAGUACAAAUGUGUUAUUAGUUAAGGGAUUUGUUUUAAAGAGGGAAUGACAAUUAAACCUCAUGGUUGAUUUGUGGAAGGGAACCAAUGAUGGGAUGAUUACUCUUAGUGGUGAAAAAAAAACUAUUAAGGUGGUUAUUAUAGUUGUUAUCACCAGCCUAAAAUUUGAAUAGGUUCAGGUCGGAUUAUAUUGAGCUUGCAAGAUUAGUUCACGGACCAAACUUGCAUGAUAAUAGGUAUUCACAACAAGAUAUCUAUAGUUUCCAACAAAGUCACAUGUGAGAUCGUGCAUUAGAACCGCAUAAACAUGUUUUAUGUUUAGAAUAUGAUAUGUGUCUAUGUGUAUAGAAUCUACCUAAUAUAUCAUAUUAAUGAAUAGUAUCAAUUGCGGAGCCAAAAAAUUAUUUGUGAGGGGUCAGAAUUAAAUUGUAUAUUUUUACAAAAAUAAAAAUUAAAUUUCACUAUUUUAAUAGUUUAUUUAUUUUUAAUUUUUAAAUGAUUAAAUUAAAUUUUAUAAAUUUUUAGGAUCAAAGUAUAAUUUUAUCAUUACUAAUUUAAAAUUUUAUAAAUUAUAAAAAGUUUAUAUGAAAAGUUUUCUAUUUUAGGGUGGCCAAAGCCCCUGUCAACUUCUGACUCGAUCACUUGCGGUUAGUUGGGUAAAGACUCAAGAAAAAUAGCGGUGUGUUUGGAUGGACGGUGCGUUUACUUGCGGUUAGUGUAAAAAUAGCGGUGGCGGUGAGAUUAGAUACUAUAGCAACACUGUAGCGUGAGACAAAAAGUAAGUUAAACGCACUGCACUGCACUUAAUCGUCUAUCUAAACUCACCAUAAGUGUCUAAAAUAUGAUUUAAGUGAAGAUACGUGGGGUAGGUGUCAUGGAAAUGUAAAAAAAAAAAAGAAUCCUACUAAUGUAUGGGAUGUGUACAAUUGAAUGCAGGAGUGAAUCAUUUGGGUAACAUUUGGACAAGAAACAUAAUGAACAAAAUGAAAGGAGAGGAAGCUAGUAAUAAAAGAUUCUUUUGGGUUAUAUAAUUUGUUUGGCAUAUAUUUUUAUAAUAUUUAAAUAUCAUUUUGGAGUUGUUGAAUUAUAAUUUAUUUUUAUGUUUUAAAACAUAAUUAUUCUAUUUUUAGAGGUCAGAGUAGAGGUGAGCAUGAGUCGGGCUACUCGGCUCGGGCUGAAGGCUUGCGCAAAAUGUGAGAGAUUUGGGUAAAAAUAUAGGCCCGAAAAAUGAGUUUAGACAAAAAAAAAUAUAAGGCCCGUUGAAAAAACAGGCUAGGCCUUGGGUAAGGCAUUUUGGCCCCAGACCCGGCCCAACCCAAAUUCACUAAGGGCACGUUUGGUUCGCUGUAUUGGAAUAGAGGCGUAAUGUAAUAGAGGCGUAAUGGAAUAGAGACGUAAUAGCAAAUCAAUUGUUUGGUUGAAUGUAAUGGAAUAGAGGCGUAAUAGUAUUCUUAUAUUUGGUUGAAUGGAAUAGAGUUGUAAUAGCAUAAGGAAAAAAGUUAAAAUGACUAGAAUACCCUUAGCAGAAAUUUGUUUAGAUAAAUGAUUAUUGUUAUUGUUAUUAAAUUUUAAUAAGAUUAUUAAUAUCAGUAAUAAAUAAUUUAAUCAUAUUUUAACAUAAUUAUUAUUAAAUAUAAUUUAAUAAAAAUAUAUAAUUUAAUAAAAUUCUUAAUAUUAAAUAUUCUUAAUAUUAAAUUACUAAAAUCAUAAUAUAUAAUACUAUAAAAUAUAAUUUAACAUAAUUAUUAUUAAAUAUAAUUUAAUAAAAUUCUCAAUAUUAAAUAUAUUCUUAUAUGAAUUUACUAAAAUCAUAAUAUAUAAUACUAUAAAAUAUAAUUUAAAAUAAUUAUUAUUAAAUAUAAUUUAAUAAAAAUAUAUAAUUUAAUCUAAAGUUUGAAUGUGUAUUUACCUAGCAAAAAUCAAUGAACUCUCGUGUAACUAUAACCUUAAUAAUAUAUGAUGUAUAAUUAAUAUUUCGUGACUAAUUAAUAGCAUAGAGAUAAAUAUAGUAAUGACGAAUUUAUAGUAUACGAUUAAAAUGCUAAUAAUUUAUAGUAUACAAUUAAAAUAUUAUAAAUAAAAUAAUAGUAAAUGAUAUAUAAGAUAAAUUAACAUAUAAAUAAUUCAGAUAUGUAAAGGAUAUGGCUGAAUAUGGUUGCUCCAAUAAUAAAGGAUAUAUAAUAUAUCAUGGUGUUGUUUUGUUUAGAUAGUUCGGUAACUUAGGAGGGUAUGUAUGAAGAACACAAGUUGAUGCAGAUAGAAAGACGACAAUAUUACAUGAUUACAAUAUGAUAUAGUAUAUAUAUAUAAUUUAUGGAUUCCUUGCAAUCACGUGGGUUCUCUAGCCAUUUUAUUUAGCAUAUCCAGUGAUAUUAAGAUCCAGAAUUAUAAUACAACUAAAAUCUGUGCACACUUAUGGAUGAUCCAACAAAGCCUCAGUUGGCUUUAGGUUCCAAAUCUUGCAACCCACAAACCAUAUUUGCUGGCACUGCAACAUCAAUCAUCUUAGGAUAUGCCAAGUUAAGAUCUGUUGCACCAACAAAAACAGAGGAGAAAUUGGAAGGCGAUCCGAAAAAACCCAAGGAUGCUUUUUCUUUUCUUUUUUUUUUAUAAUCUUUAUAGACUGGUUAUAUUGAGCAUCAACUUACUUUCCAUGAUGUUUUUGAAAGUCUCUUACAAAAAGGGUAUUCAACAAAUAAUAUAAUCAGACAUAUUGAUAGGACAAAUUGAAACUAGUAUUCUAUGAUCAUAAUAAAGAGUAAUCUUUAAUCAAAUGCGUGAAGGUAUUGAGAUGUCAUGCUUUUUCAUGAUUUCCUGUUUUACCAUGGCGAUGUUCAUUGGAAUAGUCCCAUCCAAGAGAAUCAAACCAAUGCUCAGCAAGAAAUGUUCAAUGCAUAUGUAAUUUUAAUUACAGAAGUUAUAUGCAGCUUAUAUGAGUUCAAGAUCAUAAAAUACUUCAUGGACAAAAGGAAACCCUUUCUUAUCACUGAAAUGAAAAUAGGCACUCUUAAUUUUCUAUUGUCAAAAGUAGCAAGCCAUUUUCCAAAGAAAAGGGAAGAUGGAUGGUUCCAGAAAGAAUACCUCAUCCUUUGUCAAGUGUGGAUUAUAUAGCAUCUCCUCUCCCACAGUGGUUACCUAUAAUCAAUGAGGUUUAUAAAAUCGAGCAAUCAUUUAUAUAUGUAAGAAAUGAUAGGAAUAAAGUUUUAUAUCUUACUGAGAAUCCUUUGUAGUCAUGAGCUGGAUAUAGCAAUGUCUCUUUCGGUAAUGUAAAAAUCUGGAUCCAUGAAACAAAUAAGUCCAUAAAUUUUAUUCAAAUUUUGACAAUUACAAUAAAAUUUUGAGAACUCAAAGAAUGUGACCAUAAAAAGUCCCCUGUCCUUACCUGUGAAUGCACUGACUUGUAGAGUUGCUGUGAACUUCCACCCUGCAAAAUGCAUUAAUCAGUGCUAGUCAAUGGCUACUGAAUGUGGGAGCAUUAGAGAAAAUUAUCUUAAAAACUUAAGUAUAACAAAAUUAGACAAUGACAUCCAGAUGGAAAGAAAUUGCCAGCAUAUAAGACCAGCAUUUAUGUACUCACGACUGAAAAUCCUUUGCAAAAAGUAUAGCCCUGAUAGUUCAAACUUUUACUUCAAGGAUGAUUUAAUUACUGAUUAGUUUGCCAUGAGGCUUGUGAAUGACAAACACUUUAUGUGCAACCACAGUAACAAGGUAAGCACCAAUAAGUAGAAGACUAGACGAAUAGGUAACCAAGAGUUAGAGCUAAAACAGACAAACAGAGCUACUAUCCAAUGAGCUAAAACAUACAAACAGAGGUAUAUUUUAAUAAUGAAAAUAAUCGAUUGCCUUAAACACCAUAUAGUGUUCCAAUCAAUCAAAUUAUAGCAGGCAUUAAAACCUUUCCCUUUCGUUAAUUCACAACUAUUAGCUUCAUUAAUCAAAUCCUAUGUACAGUUGAUCGAUUGAAAGUGUAACAUUUCAAAGACGAAAUUUAAACGCAAAACUGGUUAACAUUGAAAUUACAUGUAAAUAUAACCUAAAAAAUCAAAAAAUUAAUCAUAUUUUCAGAUUUCAGGCCGAAAUGGAAUGAAAUGAAAGGUAAAUCCAUUUUUUCCCCAAAAAAACAAAAAUAAAGAAAUAAUAUUUCAAGAACAGAUCAUUAAAUUCAUGGUAUAUAUAAAGAAAUUUAAUUGAAAUCAAAGGAAUAGAAGAAGGGAAAAGCGUACUUGGAACCAUUGCUGCUACUCUCUGUUACUCUGUUACCUCAUACGAUUCGUUAAAGGGUUGUUAGGGUUUGUUAAAAGGUUGGUCAGGAUAGAAGCAUGAAAAGGAGGGAGAAGGUUGGAAGGAAAUGGGAAGAAAAAUGAAAAAAAGAAGAAGAUGCUGCAACGGCUUGGAGGGUAAAAGAGGACCGAUUAGGUAAUCCUUUCUUUUGGAAGGGAUUACAAAUCGGCGCUGCAUAAGGGAAAAUGGGGAAUCAGUGCGCUGCGUAAUAGGCCCGUAUUAAGGCAAUACAGCCAACCAAACAUGGUAAUCAGUGGGGCCACGAAUUAGGGGUGUAUUGGCUAAUCCAAUACACCCAACCAAACAUGCUCUAAAGGACAAAAAAAUUUGAUUUUUUAAAUAUUAUUUUCUCUCUAUUUUGCUAUCAUUUUACUAUUAUGUUGCUACUAUGUUAUUGUUAUUUUUGAAUAUUGUAUAAAACUUAUUUUAUUGUUAAUUUUGUUAUUAUUUUAAAGACAUUUGUUAAUUUUGUUAUUAUUUUAGAGACAUUUGUUUGUUAAGUUGCAUCUAUCUUAGUGUUAUUUAAGUAUACAUAUUUUUUAAAAUUUAUUUUCAAUUUAUUGGGAAAUAUUUAUUUUGAUGUUUUUAGUAUUUUGGAUGUAUUAUAUAUAUUAAAAUUAUAUAAAAAUUAAUAUGGCCGAGCCAGGUCAGGCCCAGAUUUUAGCAUUUUUAUUCAGGUCGGGCUUGAGCAAAAUUUUAAGCCCAUUUUUUGGGCCAAACCAGGCCUGGGCUUAGCAAAUGGGCCUAAAUUUUUAGUCAAGCUCGACCUAAACCCGAUCCGGCCCAUGCUCACCUCUAGAUCAGAGCUGCCCUCGCUUUGCAUUUCUUUGAGAUUCAGUCUUAUCUACUGUUGAUUGCCCACUCAAUGGAGGGUUGAGUAGAAAGAUUUGGUGAAGCAAGCUAAGCUAUCAAUCAAGGUUGGAGAAAGCUUAGGAGGUCACAAUGCAUAAUUAUUUAAAUGUAAUUCUAAUAUUUAAAUAAAAUUUAUUAAUAUAGUAUUAACAAGCCCUAAAUGUAAUGAUUAUAUACUAUUACAUUUUUAAGAAGAGAAAACAUGUUUGAACCUUAAAAACAUCAUUAUUAAAAAUGAUAAUUACAAAUUUUAAAAUAUAAAAAAUAUAAUUAAAAAUUAAUUUUAAACCCGAGCUGGAUAAAAUUCUAAUUUUAGAUAACGAUACUAAUAAGAAAUCAAUAUUAAAAUGAAAAUGAAAAGUAAUUUAAUAUAAUUUUUGAGUCUUGGGCAAAGGCACUCAAUGAAUGCUUGGAAAGAAAUAAUGCAACUUGGUGAUAGCUUUUGUUGGAGUAAUAUGCUCUUAUUAUAGUUUUAUGUUUUUAUCUUGCAAAAACAACAUAUUGGAGUUUUCGGCAUGAUUUUUUCUUAAUACUUUACAUGAAAAAUAAUAAUGGGACUUAAAUUGCUACAAUAUUACAACACAAAGUUACAAUAAGAGCUUAUAACUCAACAAAGGCUAUCAAUAAAUAAUCUCAGGCAAGCUAAAGAGAAAUGUUGAGAAUACCACCCGAAUAGUGACUGACUUUAAAAGUUGAAAACCCGAAGCUAUAUUAUCUCAAACGAAAUCAAACCAUAAACAUUAAAAUUUUCAAGUCUACUAGUUACUGUAAAAAAUUCAGCUCCAACAGACACCAAAUGAGCCUUUGAUCGAAGAAAGUACGAAAAAUAGUCUAGGUAAACCAAGCUUCCAAACUUACUUAUCUUAUCUUUAAUUUGCAGUGAAAUUCAAAAUUAAGAUUUUGUUUAUUUCACUUGGAACAACUUUCAAAAAAUUAUUUUUGAAAAAUGAAUUGGUUUUUCGAAAUAGAUGAUAUUUUAUUGUGUCAAAAUUUUAUUCAUUGUAGGAAAACUUUUUUUAAAUCAUUUUCUUAGAGUUAUUUUUAGUUAAAUAAACAUAACAUAAAUAUAUUUGUUACAAAAAAUUAUACUAGUAUUUUCUUUUGACAAUUAAAAUUUAUUUUAUGGUAAGACAAUAUUUUAUAAUAAUUAAUAUCAUAUAUAUACGUAAUAAAAAUCAUGUUUAAUUAAAAUUUAAUUAAAAUUAGAUGUAUUAAUAAAGCUACUCCUCCACAACCCGCAUCCGCAACAGCACCAGCACCAGCACCAGCACCAGCAUCAGCACCAUGGGACAACUAUUGGGUUUCCUCCACCUGCCUCUAUCGCUCCUCCUCAGUAUUACCCCCAAGCCUACCAGACCGUGCCGGGUAUUCUACAAAUAUGAAAAAACCUUCUUCUCUUUUUAUUAGCUUAUCGAAAUGAAGGAUUUUGAGAUUUGGGCUUUUGUUAGAUGGAUGGUUAAUGAUAUUUUUUAGAUGAAAGAUACAAGUUUUUUAAUGUUUUAGAAGAAAAGGUGUUUAAAUAUUAGGAGUUUUUUAGCAGAGAAAGAAGAUAAAUAAAUGCAUAGAGAUACAUUAGCAAUAUUAUUUGGAUUUGGUUGUCUAAUGUAAUGAAGAAUUUUUUAAGGGUGACCUGAGUAGGUGUGGCAAGAUUCAAAGUUUUUUCUAUUAUAGCAGAUAUAUAUAUAUUAAUGGUUUAAGAAGACUAGAAGUCGGUUUCAAAGGAAGAUGAGAAAUAAAAGCAUUUAUAUAUAUGAUAUGUCAUUAAUUCAUAAACCAAAUAUAUAAAGUAUGUAAAAGUGUCAGGGGUUAAUCAUGGUGUUUUGACAAUCCGGUAACCUUCAACUUGAAGAAAACCUUAGGUUUCAAAAAUUUAUGUGAAGAGUUAGAAUGGUAUGCUUCAUGGAUCUGAAUAACUAGAACAGUGUAAGAGUGGUAUAUUGUGUCAAGUUUGGUUUCUUGUAUAUAAUUGUAUCGAAAACAAUGUUACAUGAGUUAAAAUGAAUGUUCAUCCAAUUUAACAAAGCCUGCAUUAUGUUGAUCAAAAUUUUUAAUUCAUGUUGAGGUUUCUUCCGUGAUAUCUUUGAUGUCAAGGUUAUGAUGUUGCUGAAGGGACACCUGUAAGAGAUAAGCCACCGUGCUGUGGCAUUGGAUUCGGAUGGUUCUUGUAAGUGUACAUAGUUUUCUUUGUUUUUAAAGAGUUCUUUACAUAUGAAGUAAAACAAGUAGCGACUUGAUGGAUAUGUCAUUAAGCUUUAACUUAAGCAAAUCAUUUUCCUUCAUCUCUAAUUGCCAUUUCUUUAAAAGAAAAAGAGGAAGUUUUGUAGUUUACAGUUUGGACAAAUGGAAGUUAAUAUAAUGCACUAUUUGGAUGGACUAUGGAGAUAUCCAAUCAUAUUGGAUGAGUUAUAAGAAACCUGUGAGUUCAUAUUGGGUUUACUUUAUAUCAUAAUUAGAUUGUUGAGCUGGCUGUCAUACUUAGAUGGUAUUUCACGUUGCUACUUGUUAAACUAUACCACUUUCACAUUCAUACGUGAAAUGGCUGGGAUUUAGUGCCAUUCUACUUAGCAGCCUCGUGUAAUACACAGGUGAAAUGUUUAUGUCUUCAUGUCACCUUAAAGUUCCCAUUUCCAUGACGGUAUUGUUAAGUAAAGACUGGUACAUACCCCAAAAUACGGAAAUUGUUUUGGAUGUAUACUAUACUUUACCAUGCAUGAUUUUUUACAAGUUUGCAUGGUAUUUUAUCAUUAUAUUGGUCUUUAUUUUCUAUACUCGCAGCUUCCAUUAAUAUAUUUUUAUGAAUUUUAUCAUUAUGCUGGUUUGAAGGUUCAUCAUUGGUUUCUUCAUUGGGGGCCAUCCCUGGUAUAUUGGAUUCUUUGUUUUACUUUGUGCAAGGAUAGACGACAGAGAGAAAGCAGGAUAUAUUGCAUGCACAAUUGCCGUGAGUAUCUUUUCUAUCAUUAUUUUUUUCUUUUCCAAUUUUAUGAAAGCCAUCCUUCCUGCCUUGUAUUGAUCAUCAAUUUAACCAUUAUAUAUAUGUAUCUUAUGUAUUUGUACCAUGCUUUAUCUUCAAUGCAAAUAUAAGUUAAACUACAAAGAUUGGAUUGUUAAAAAAAGUUUAAAAUGUUAAAAAAAUUGAAAAUUUUGAUUUUGUAAGAAUGAUAGAAAACCAAGGCCAGUGCUUGCAUAUGUUAUCUACUACAUGCACAAUCGGGUCGAUGUCUGUAUAUGUUUCAUGUUUAGAAAUCGUGUUCAAUUGGGUUACGAUAUGUACAAUUGAAGUGUCAAUUUAUAAUUUCCUUAUCAAGAUUACACAUUUUUUUGUUAAUAUUCGGAAUCACUCAAUGGUUAUAAACCCUGAUUGGAUACUGUCCACAAAGUCUAGUUGGAACAUCCCUUGUAUUCUUUGUCCUUUCUAAGAACUUUCCUUUCCAUCAUUCUCGCUUCUGUUUUUUUUUUCUUCCCUCUACUUUAAGUCAUUAUCUAACGUAGAUAUCCCUUGUAUUCUUUGUCCUUUCUAUGGCAAUCGAGUCAAUUGAUGGCAAGCCAAAAAAACAAAAAGAGCAGCUAUCCUGUCUUACUCGAUUGCCAUCCCUCCUGUUAAACACCAUUAAGAAAAGGAAAAUUUUAGUUAAGCUUUAAAACAGCCAUGUUUUAACGAUGUUGGUGAUGGUGCUUGUGCAGGCCCUUCUUGCUACAAUUACAAUUAUUCUUAGUGCAACAAUUAAAGCUGGUGGGUGAUAAAGCACACCUCUUUUGACUGAGAGAUGUAUAGGUUCCCAAAUAAUAUGUAUAUGCUCCCCCCCCUCCCUUUAUUUUAUUUUAUUUCCAGUAAGUUAUUGUUUAUGAUAAUUUGCAACAAAUGUUUUUGUCAUUAUUUUGUUGGUGAAUGAUAAUAAGAUUAAGCUUUACUUUCUUAAGCUCCAAUUCCUUGGACGUUGGUGAUUUUUUUAUUAUAGUUGAGUCAUUGUAUGGUAUUAAUAUAAUUUAUGUCGCUUAAAAUUUAUAACUAAAAAUAUAAAAUUUAAAUUUUACUUCAAUUUAUUUGUAUUUAUAAAUGGUUAAUUCAAACUUAUUUUUUUCCUCAUUAUAUUUUAUAUUUAAAUUAACAUUUAAACUAUUUUUCAUUAGCAAUGUUGUUAAGAAUUAUAUUUUUUAGCACCAACAUCAAACUUACUAAAAUUAAAUUUUUAACUAUUUAAAAAAAAUAUUUUUAGCUAUUUAUCAUCAUAGAGAAAAAAAGGUGACGUCACCACGCCUCAUGCUUCGACACCACAAACUAGACUCUCAUCACCCGUAUUUAUCAUCGAUUCAAAUUCCAGAACUACCUAAAAAUAUAUCUUCAAACUUCCUCUGGUUAAGUUCAUUGAUAGUCAACUUACUAUCAUUUCUAAAAAAAAAACAAAUAAAUUGGUUAAUAGUAAUCUCAAUGAUUCAAUUUUAUUCUUACCAGUAUCUGUCCUUUAGAAAGGGGCUUAUAAAAGGGGUAGAGGUGAGUAAACUUGAGCUUCAGCUUUCCACAAACACCUUAAUUUGAAGACACAGUUCUCUCAUACUAAAAAAGACAUGGAAGUUUACCUUGUAAUUAGAGAUUUGGUUUCAUUGCUUGUUGUUGGGUUAUUAAUGAUAUGGGGAUGCAGAACUUUAAACUGGGUAUGGCUGGCCCCAAAAAGGCUCGAAAGCUGCUUGAGACAACAGGGUUUUGCAGGGAAUCCUUACAGGUUCCUUUCUGGUGACAUAAAAGAGCUCUCAACUAUGAGCAGACAAACAAGAGCCAAACCUAUGCCUCUUAGUGAUGAUAUUGGGCCUUAUGUUGUUCCUUUUCAACAUCAAACUGCUAACCAGUAUGGUAUGUUUUUUUUGUUUAAUCUGCAAUUUAUGAUAAUUCUUUGUUAUUUAUGUAUGGAAUUUAUUGGGAGGAAAUGCAGGAAAGAAUUCAUUUACGUGGUUUGGUCCAAGACCAAGGGUGAACAUUACGGACCCUGAAAAAAUAAGAGAAAUACUUAACAAAUUUAAUGACUUCCAGAAGAUACAUACCAAUCCACUGCUUAAUUUGCUUGUAAGCGGCCUUGCUAACCUCGACGGAGACCGAUGGAGCAAGCGUAGAAAAAUCAUAAACCCUGCAUUUCAUCAAGAUAAGUUGAAG